This 497-nucleotide ribosomal RNA is filed under the name uncultured bacterium. RNAcentral's name for it is "partial 16S ribosomal RNA". It matches the Rfam family "Bacterial small subunit ribosomal RNA", at positions 28 to 507 of the family's 1533-position model. The record is from RNAcentral.
GAUGAACGCUGGCGGCGUGCCUAAUACAUGCAAGUCGAGCGAACGGACGAGAAGCUUGCUUUUCUGAUGUUAGCGGCGGACGGGUGAGUAACACGUGGAUAACCUACCUAUAAGACUGGGAUAACUUCGGGAAACCGGAGCUAAUACCGGAUAAUAUUUUGAACCGCAUGGUUCAAAAGUGAAAGACGGUCUUGCUGUCACUUAUAGAUGGAUCCGCGCUGCAUUAGCUAGUUGGUAAGGUAACGGCUUACCAAGGCAACGAUGCAUAGCCGACCUGAGAGGGUGAUCGGCCACACUGGAACUGAGACACGGUCCAGACUCCUACGGGAGGCAGCAGUAGGGAAUCUUCCGCAAUGGGCGAGAGCCUGACGGAGCAACGCCGCGUGAGUGAUGAAGGUCUUCGGAUCGGAAAACUCUGUUAUUAGUGAAGAACAUAUGUGUAAGUAACUGUGCACAUCUUGACGGUACCUAAUCAGAAAGCCACGGCUAACUACGUG